Molecule: ribosomal RNA, 302 nt
Filed under: uncultured bacterium
Lineage: Bacteria
Description: partial 16S ribosomal RNA
Rfam family: Bacterial small subunit ribosomal RNA
Source: RNAcentral
GCAGUAGCCACGGGAAUACGAAGGGGGCUAGCGUUGCUCGGAAUCACUGGGCGUAAAGGGUGCGUAGGCGGGUCUUUAAGUCAGGGGUGAAAUCCUGGAGCUCAACUCCAGAACUGCCUUUGAUACUGAAGAUCUUGAGUUCGGGAGAGGUGAGUGGAACUGCGAGUGUAGAGGUGAAAUUCGUAGAUAUUCGCAAGAACACCAGUGGCGAAGGCGGCUCACUGGCCCGAUACUGACGCUGAGGCACGAAAGCGUGGGGAGCAAACAGGAUUAGAUACCCCGGUAGUCCCUGUCUCUUAUAC